GAUUUGAGAGAAAAAUUGAUAUCAAGGUUUUUAACUACCUUAGGAUUUGGUUUAGGAUAUAAGAUUUGGUUAGGGUUUGGUUAGGAUUUGAUUAAGGUUUAGGAUUUGGUUUAAGAUUUGAAAUUUAAUUUGGAUUUGAUUUAAGAUUUAAGAUUUAAUUAAGAUUUAAUUUAAGAUUUAGGAUUUGAUUAGGAUUUAAUUUAGGAUUUAGAACUUCAUUAGGAUUUGAUUUAAAAUCUAAGAUUUGUCUAGGAUUUGGUUAGGAUUUGGAAUUUAUCUAUGAUUUCAUUAGGAUUUGGUUUAGAAUUUAGGAUUUGAUUAAGAUUUGAUUUAAAAUUUAGGAUUUAAUUUAAGAUUUAGGGUUUGAUUAGGAUUUGUUUUAAGAUUUUAUUAGGAUUAAGUUUAGAGUUUAAGAUUUAUCUAAGAUUUGGUUUAGAAUUUAAGAUUUAGUUAGGAUUUGGCCUAAGAUUUGAUUGAAGACUAUUAGAAUUUAAAUUAAGAUUAAAUUAGGAUUUUAUUGAGAUUU
RNAcentral lists this long non-coding RNA (526 nucleotides) under Physcomitrium patens. RNAcentral's name for it is "long non-coding RNA (PPAT_LNC002914)". The record is from RNAcentral. Lineage: Eukaryota; Viridiplantae; Streptophyta; Bryopsida; Funariales; Funariaceae.